AACGAACGCUGGCGGCAUGCCUAACACAUGCAAGUCGAACGAGACCUUCGGGUCUAGUGGCGCACGGGUGCGUAACGCGUGGGAACCUGCCCUUAGGUUCGGAAUAACUCCCCGAAAGGGGUGCUAAUACCGGAUAAUGUCUUCGGACCAAAGAUUUAUCGCCUUUGGAUGGGCCCGCGUUGGAUUAGCUAGUUGGUAGGGUAAAAGCCUACCAAGGCGACGAUCCAUAGCUGGUCUGAGAGGAUGAUCAGCCACACUGGGACUGAGACACGGCCCAGACCCGUGGGGGGGGAGGAGGGGGGGAAUAUGGAAAAAGGGGAGAAGGCUUGACCCAGAAAGGCCGGGGGAGGAAGGAGGGCUUUAGGGUUGAAAAGCUUUUUUCCCGGGGAGAAAAAGAACAGUACGGGAAAAAAAAGCGCGGCCAAGCCCGGUC
RNAcentral lists this ribosomal RNA (433 nucleotides) under uncultured bacterium. Its description in RNAcentral is "partial 16S ribosomal RNA". It matches the Rfam family "Bacterial small subunit ribosomal RNA", at positions 29 to 508 of the family's 1533-position model. The record is from RNAcentral.